This 253-nucleotide ribosomal RNA is filed under the name uncultured bacterium. RNAcentral describes it as "partial 16S ribosomal RNA". It matches the Rfam family "Bacterial small subunit ribosomal RNA", at positions 524 to 776 of the family's 1533-position model. The record is from RNAcentral.
UACAGAGGUCCCAAGCGUUGUUCGGAUUCACUGGGCGUAAAGGGUGCGUAGGCGGUCGGGUAAGUCUGAUGUGAAAUCUCACAGCUUAACUGUGAAACUGCAUUGGAUACUAUCCGGCUAGAGGAAUGGAGGGGAGACUGGAAUACUUGGUGUAGCAGUGAAAUGCGCAGAUAUCAUUUGGAACGCCAAUGGUGAAAACAGGUCGCUGGGAGUGUGCUGACGCUGAGACACGAAAGCCAGGGGAGCAAACGGG